Non-coding RNA from Peromyscus maniculatus bairdii (prairie deer mouse), 130 nucleotides. Ensembl annotates it as predicted gene, 22387. NCBI's taxonomy places the organism in Eukaryota, Metazoa, Chordata, Mammalia, Rodentia, Cricetidae. The record is from Ensembl.
AUGGGACGCUUCAGCGUCAGCCUUGUGGACAAAUGAUUUGUCUGCAGAAGGCAUCGAUUCUACACAGUCAUGGAGGUCUCUGUCUGACUUGGACAGCUGGCUAAGACCCAUCAGUCCCCUCCCAUGCAAC